AUUGAACGCUGGCGGCAGGCUUAACACAUGCAAGUCGAACGGAGAAUUUUAUUUCGGUAGAAUUCUUAGUGGCGAACGGGUGAGUAACGCGUAGACAACCUGCCUCUUAGAUGGGGACAACAUCGCGAAAGCGGUGCUAAUACCGAAUGAAGUGGAGCUUCCGCAUGGAAGCAUCACCAAAGGUGGCCUCUAUUUAUAAGCUACCACUGAGAGAUGGGUCUGCGUCUGAUUAGCUAGUUGGCGGGGCAAUGGCCCACCAAGGCGACGAUCAGUAGCCGGUCUGAGAGGGUGAACGGCCACAUUGGGACAGAGACACGGCCCAAACUCCUACGGGAGGCAGCAGUGGGGAAUCUUCCGCAAUGGACGAAAGUCUGACGGAGCAACGCCGCGUGAGUGAAGAAGGUUUUCGGAUCGUAAAGCUCUGUUGUUUGAGACGAAUGUGCAGACUUUGAAUAAGGGUUUGUAAUGACGGUAUUAAACGAGAAAGCCACGGCUAACUACGUGCCAGCAGCCGCAGUAA
This 520-nucleotide ribosomal RNA is filed under the name uncultured bacterium. RNAcentral's name for it is "partial 16S ribosomal RNA". It matches the Rfam family "Bacterial small subunit ribosomal RNA", at positions 30 to 523 of the family's 1533-position model. The record is from RNAcentral.